RNAcentral lists this ribosomal RNA (253 nucleotides) under uncultured bacterium. RNAcentral describes it as "partial 16S ribosomal RNA". It matches the Rfam family "Bacterial small subunit ribosomal RNA", at positions 524 to 776 of the family's 1533-position model. The record is from RNAcentral.
UACGAAGGGGGCUAGCGUUGUUCGGAAUUACUGGGCGUAAAGCGCACGUAGGCGGAUUUGCAAGUUGGAGGUGAAAUCCCGGGGCUCAACUCCGGAACUGCCUUCAAAACUGCAAGUCUGGAGGUCAGGAGAGGCGAGUGGAAUACCGAGUGUAGAGGUGAAAUUCGUAGAUAUUCGGUGGAACACCAGUGGCGAAGGCGACUCGCUGGACUGAUACUGACGCUGAGGUGCGAAAGCGUGGGGAGCAAACAGG